This 764-nucleotide ribosomal RNA is filed under the name uncultured Streptococcus sp. Its description in RNAcentral is "bacterial SSU rRNA". It matches the Rfam family "Bacterial small subunit ribosomal RNA", at positions 28 to 776 of the family's 1533-position model. The record is from RNAcentral. Lineage: Bacteria; Bacillati; Bacillota; Bacilli; Lactobacillales; Streptococcaceae.
GACGAACGCUGGCGGCGUGCCUAAUACAUGCAAGUAGAACGCUGAAGGAGGAGCUUGCUUCUCUGGAUGAGUUGCGAACGGGUGAGUAACGCGUAGGUAACCUGCCUGGUAGCGGGGGAUAACUAUUGGAAACGAUAGCUAAUACCGCAUAAGAGUAGAUGUUGCAUGACAUUUACUUAAAAGGUGCAAUUGCAUCACUACCAGAUGGACCUGCGUUGUAUUAGCUAGUUGGUGGGGUAACGGCUCACCAAGGCGACGAUACAUAGCCGACCUGAGAGGGUGAUCGGCCACACUGGGACUGAGACACGGCCCAGACUCCUACGGGAGGCAGCAGUAGGGAAUCUUCGGCAAUGGACGGAAGUCUGACCGAGCAACGCCGCGUGAGUGAAGAAGGUUUUCGGAUCGUAAAGCUCUGUUGUAAGAGAAGAACGAGUGUGAGAGUGGAAAGUUCACACUGUGACGGUAUCUUACCAGAAAGGGACGGCUAACUACGUGCCAGCAGCCGCGGUAAUACGUAGGUCCCGAGCGUUGUCCGGAUUUAUUGGGCGUAAAGCGAGCGCAGGCGGUUAGAUAAGUCUGAAGUUAAAGGCUGUGGCUUAACCAUAGUACGCUCUGGAAACUGUUUAACUUGAGUGCAAGAGGGGAGAGUGGAAUUCCAUGUGUAGCGGUGAAAUGCGUAGAUAUAUGGAGGAACACCGGUGGCGAAAGCGGCUCUCUGGCUUGUAACUGACGCUGAGGCUCGAAAGCGUGGGGGAGCAAACAGG